Molecule: transfer RNA, 68 nt
Filed under: Ascalohybris subjacens
Lineage: Eukaryota; Metazoa; Arthropoda; Insecta; Neuroptera; Myrmeleontidae
Description: tRNA-Thr
Rfam family: tRNA
About the family: Transfer RNA (tRNA) molecules are approximately 80 nucleotides in length. Their secondary structure includes four short double-helical elements and three loops (D, anti-codon, and T loops).
Source: RNAcentral
GUUUUAAUAGUUUAAUAAAAACAUUGGUCUUGUAUACCAAAUAUAAGAAAAAUUUAUCUUUUAAAACU